AGCACUCUGCGGCCAGCUCUAGGCUGGAGGGGAACAUCCAUUGUGGCCACAAGGCCUCGCCCAACCUCACAGCAGCUGCCCGGCCCCACCUCCUCUUCCCUUGGUUGGGGCAUUUGCUGACCGUGGCCUUUUCGGUCCAAGGUGGGAGGCCACAGGGAGCAGAGGGUCGGAGGUACAGAGCCCAGAGGCCCCCAGGACCCAGGCAAGCUGAAGCCCUCGGACAGCCCAUAUCCAGCCUCUUCUUUGCUUUCAGAUAAGAACUUUAAAAAGAAAACAUCCUACAGAAAAGAAGCUCAGCUUUUCCCCGCUGCUGGCUGAGUGGGUUUCCUAAGAGCGGGUAUUUCCUCCACCCCAGCAGCGCUUUUCAGCGAGGAGCAUCUCCGUCUCCACGGAGGGCAGCCUGGAAUGGGGGAACGCAGUCAGGCUGACAUUGCUGUGACCUCCGCGGCUCGGGGUGGGCUGCUGACCGUGACCACCGGCUCCGAGGAAGAAAGAGCCCAGAUGGGGAGUGUCUGCCAAUACCUGUGGUGCAAAUGCUCCCACCGGGGCUGGCUUCGAGCUGCCAAGGGGACAUGCUGCAGGCAGGGGCGGGCACCCUGCGGUGACACCCACGUGACCCGACCUCAGACAGACACGACCCACGACCAACCUCUGGAUCCUGGAGGAGCGCACAGGGCCGCAGCGUGAGAGGCAGUGGCGCGUGCUGUGUUCAGCGCUUCUGUUUUUAGUGACUUCUUUAUUUGUAAGUUCUUAUGAUUUAAUUUGUUUUUGAGAUAUGGUUUUGCUCCAUCACUCAGGCUGGAGGGCAGUGGCGCAACCACAGCUCACUGCAGCCUCAACCUCCUGGGCUCAAGUGAUCCUCCUGUCUCAGCCUCCCGAGGAGCUGGGACCGCAGGUACACGCCACCACAUCCAGCUUAUUUAUUUAUUUAUUUAUUUAUUUAUUUAUUUAUUUCUGAGACAGAGUCUCGCUCUGUCACCCAGGCUGGAGUGCAGCCGCGCGAUCUCGGCUCACUGAAAGCUCCGCCUCCCGGGCUCACGCCAUUCUCCUGCCUCAGCCUCCCAAGUAGCUGGGACUACGGGCGCCUGCCACCACAUUUGGCUAACUUUUUUGUAUUUUUAGUUGAGACGGGUUUUCACCGUGUUAGCCAGGAUUGUCUGUCUCCUGACCUCGUGAUCCGCCUGCCUCAGCCUCCCAAAGUGCUGGGAUUACAGGUGUGAGCCACCGCGCCUGGCCUAUUUAUUUUUUUAUCUGCAGAGAUGAGAUCUUGCUGUGUUGCCCAGGCUGGUCUCUCACUCCUGUCCUCAAGCCAUCCUCCCUCCUCGGACUCCUGGCGUGCUGGGGUUACAGCAUGAGCCCCCACGCCAGGCUGAUUUAAUUUUAAUAGUUCUGUGUAUGACGGCCAGCUCACCCGAUUCCAGGACAUGAAGGCUCAGCUCUUAGGAGCUGGCUCUGCACACCACCUGUGUGACGGCUGCAAUUCACACCAGACCCCAACAAGACCGAGGCUUUGGUCUGACCGUGAAGGCCCCGGCGAGGACAGCAUCACCCUCAGCCCCAGGCAAGAGGGGACCUGUAGUUCCCCUCCAGCCCCGCUGAGGCCUGAGCUGCCUUCGCAAUCCCAUCCUGAGUACCUCAAGGCCCUGGGGUUCCCGAGGCUCCUGCCCCAAAGGUCCCACGAGCACCACGUGUCUUCCUCUUCCAAGUCCUCUGCCUGCGGUGCUGGGCCUGGUGUGGGGGCAGCCAAGGGCGCUCUGUGCAGGACCCGGACCCAGCAUGGCCACUCGGAGUGCGGGCCCGGCAUCCCGAAGCCCCCUUCCCGUGAGAGUGAAGCCGGAGGCGAUGGAGGGAGGCAGGAGGCAUGGCUGUGUGUCCUCGGGAAGCUGAGAUUUCUAACCUUGAGUCUGAACGUCCAGGCUGGUGUGAAGUCUGUCACGGCGGGAGCACGGAGGCUACUCUGCGAGUUCCACGGGGCAUCAGCCGGGGCGGUGUUAUUUAACGCCAGGACGUGCAGUGUAUGGGCCUCUCUUGGUCUCUGGGCCCUGCCUGCGUUAGGGCAUCGGCCGGGUCGGCUGUAUUUAAAUGCCCAUGUAGUGCCUGGGCCUCCACAGAGCUCUAGGCCCCGUCCAUGACGGUGCAGGCGUGUUCUCGGUGGAAACACAGCCGGUGAAGGCGGGAGGAGGGAAGAGUGAGCUCUCCCUGCCUGAGAGUCUCCGAGGGGUCCAGACUGAGGGUUGGGGGUGCAGGAGGGGAGGCCCCAGGGCUCAGCGGAUCCCAGGUUGUGCAGGGUUCAGUGGGUUUCAUUGAGGAAUUUGGACUCUGCCCCAGGGGUGACGGGAGCCAACAGGCAGCGGCUACCUCCUGCCUCCUCUCCGUGAUCCAGGUGCUCAGAGGAGCCAGGCAGCAUGGCUGAGGCCACACAGACGUGCAGGAGGGAGUGCAGAGCAGGGCCCCGUCGUGCCUGAGGAUAGAAGGUGCUUCCUUCCUGGGGCAGCAGCCUCCCUGCGAGAAGGCGGCUCUCCAGGGCUGCCUGGAACGCAUAACCGACGGCUUGCAAUCUGCACCCUGUGAUUUAUUUAUAUGGGGUUGAAGUACUGCAGGGGUCCCGUGCUGCUGUGUCAGGAUUGGGCCCACGUAGCGCGCAGACCAUUUGCCUUGCAUGAAAAAUGCAUGAUGGCGUCGGGAAGCCGCUGGGAAGUUUCGCGACGCCCGUGCAGGGGUCCUCGCACGGCCGACUGGCUGUCAGCGCCCCGGUCCUGCCGCCCAUGUUGCCAAUGGAUGAGCCAAAUGUCCCUCGUGCGAGGGGCCUUGUAGAUCCUGCAGACACCGCGCCUCUCACCAGGGAGUAAGGGAAUGGUCUUCCCCUGGGACCCACGAGUUCAUCCUCAGCUCCACCUUCACCCACAGGCCACGGGGAAACCGCCCGGUGCAGGGGGCUCAGCACACCACCAAGAGCCUUUUAAAAAGGCUUUGGGUAACAGGGAGGAAGAAAGCCCAGUUUUAAACACCAAGUGUGGUCUGCGGGAACUUCCUAGGGCAGCCUGUCCAGUGGGAGUGUCUGUGGUGAUGGGAAUGCCCGUGUCUGUGUGAGCCACGUGGUGGUCACUGGUCACAUGUGGAGACGGGAAUGCCCGUGUCUGUGUGAGCCACGCGGUGGGUCACUGGUCACAUGUGGAGACGGGAAUCCUUGUGUCUGUGUGAGCCACGCGGUGGUCACUGGUCACACGUGGCGGGAAUGCCCGUGUCUGUGUGAGCCACGUGGUGGUCACUGGUCACGUGUGGCUGCUGAGCCCUUGAAAUGUGGCUCGUACAGUUGAGGAAGUGUGGCCUGUGCAGUUGAGGAGCCGGCUUUUAAAUUUUAUUUAAUUUUAAUGAAUUUAAGUGUAAACAUAAAUAGCUACCAUAUCGGACCAUGUCUAGGUUGAUGACAUAUUGUCUUUUUUUUUUGGCUUUUUAAAGUGGUUGUAUCGUUAUUAUUAUUUAAUUAAAUCAAUUAAUUUUUGAGACAGGGCCUUGCUGUGUCGCCCAGGCUGCAGUGCAGGGGGGUGAUCACAGCUCACUGCAGCCUCAACUUCCCAUGCUCAAGCCGUCCUCCCACCUUAGCCUCCCGAGUACCUGGGACUACAGGCACGUGCCACCACGCAUGGCUAAUCUUGUACUUUUUGUAGACAUGAGGUCUCGCUAUGUUGCCCAGGCCGGUCUUGAACUCCUAGGCUCAACUCAUCUUCCUGUCUUGGCUUCUUGAAGUGUUGGGAUUACAGGCGUGAGCCACCUGUGCCUGGCCUAUUUUUUAUUUGUAAAUAUAAGGGGUACAAGUGCAGUUACAUGGAAACACUGUGUAGUGGUGAAGUCGGGGCUGUCAGUGUAGCCAUCACCAGAGAGCGUACAUCAAACGCACCGGGAACUUUCUCAUCCCUCGCCCCACCCUCCUGAGCAUCCACGGGUGAGUGUUCCCCACUCUGUGUCCACGUGCACACAUCAUUUAGCUCCCACCUGUAAGUGAGGACACGUGCUCUUUGUCCUUCUGUUUCUGAACUGUUUGACUCAGCACUAUGUUCUCCCGUUCCAUCCACGUUCCUGCAAAGGGCACAAUUUUACACUUUUUCAUGGCUGAAUAGUACUCCAUCGUGUAUAUGCACCACAUUCUCUUUCUCCAGCCGUCUGUUGGUGGAGCCCUAGGCUGAUUCCGUGUCUUUGCUGUUGUGAAUGGUGCUGUGAUGGACGUGCACGUGCAGGUGUCUUUUUGAUGUAAUCAUUUCCUUCGAGUAGCUGCCCGGCAGUGGGAUUGCUGGAUGAGUUCUGUUUUCAGUUCUUUGAUAAAUCUCUUUACUGGGGCAGUGGGAUUGCUGGAUGAGUUCUGUUUUCAGUUCUUUGAUAAAUCUCUUUACUGUGCUCCACAGGGGCUGACAAUAUUCCCGGUGAGGGUUUGGGAGACGCAGGUGUGUGCACGUCUCAGAACUCAUCUCACGGAACUGUUAAGAUCUGUGAAUUCCACUGUAAAUUUUACCUAAAACAAGAGAACUGUUGACAGAUAUUGGAUUCUAGUUAAUACUUCUGAAAUAUUUGUAUUGAAAUAUACUGUUGUCUACAACUUCCUGUGAAAUGCAUCCAAUAAAAUAAGAUGGGUUGACGGAGGGGUGGGGGGACGGAGAGGUGACUGGGUCUAUGGUGAAGAAAUGAGCCAGUGUUGAUCGUAGAAUCCAGGCAGAGGUGCCGGGCUUCACAAUAAAGUGCUGAAGAAGCUCCAAAUACA
RNAcentral lists this long non-coding RNA (4753 nucleotides) under Homo sapiens (human). RNAcentral's name for it is "uncharacterized LOC112267991 (LOC112267991)". The record is from RNAcentral. Lineage: Eukaryota; Metazoa; Chordata; Mammalia; Primates; Hominidae.